AGUAAGGACAGAAUUGAAUGCUGCCAGUGGGACUAGGCUGGGUGCUUGUUAAACCAAAGUGUUUCUUUAACCUGUAAAAGAGUUGUGCUGAGUAAGAAAAGUAAUUUAAUGAGUAAUGUCACUAUUGCAGUUGUGUAAUUAGUUAGGGUGACCUCAAUUUCCCGGACAUGUCCUCUUUUUGGGACCUAAAAAAUGCGUCCAGCCGGGAUUUCUAAAUCGCCCAAAAUGUCCGGGAUUCAUCUUCUACAGUUGGCAUCAAAAGGCGGUCGCCAUCUACUACGCUGCAGCCAGAUGCCGCCCUGACCCCAGGCUCUUUUGAUGGACACGCAGCGUGCCAGCUCUUUAUGCAGAGGACAAAGGAACACACCCGCGGCUCACCAACAGGGGCCUAUCAGCUAAUCACCGCGCACACCGCUGAACUGCCGGUCCAGCCACACCAACUGCCCCACAUCAUCAGUUCCCCCGGCUUCAUAUCCACACGAAAAUUAAGGACAGUAACCUUGCUAUGGACAUAACGUUAGCUUAUGGCAAAGGCAAAGAGACUGAAGAGGACGUUG
Molecule: long non-coding RNA, 557 nt
Organism: Micropterus salmoides (largemouth bass)
Lineage: Eukaryota; Metazoa; Chordata; Actinopteri; Centrarchiformes; Centrarchidae
Exons: 3
Source: RefSeq, a predicted model, not a curated record